UAGGGAAUCUUCCGCAAUGGGCGAAAGCCUGACGGAGCAACGCCGCGUGAGUGAUGAAGGUCUUCGGAUCGUAAAACUCUGUUAUUAGGGAAGAACAAAUGUGUAAGUAACUAUGCACGUCUUGACGGUACCUAAUCAGAAAGCCACGGCUAACUACGUGCCAGCAGCCGCGGUAAUACGAAGGGGGCUAGCGUUGUUCGGAUUUACUGGGCGUAAAGCGCACGUAGGCGGACUAUUAAGUCAGGGGUGAAAUCCCGGGGCUCAACCCCGGAACUGCCUUUGAUACUGGUAGUCUUGAGUUCGAGAGAGGUGAGUGGAAUUCCGAGUGUAGAGGUGAAAUUCGUAGAUAUUCGGAGGAACACCAGUGGCGAAGGCGGCUCACUGGCUCGAUACUGACGCUGAGGUGCGAAAGCGUGGGGAGCAAACAGG
Molecule: ribosomal RNA, 429 nt
Filed under: Actinomycetes bacterium
Lineage: Bacteria; Bacillati; Actinomycetota; Actinomycetes
Description: Actinobacteria bacterium partial 16S ribosomal RNA
Rfam family: Bacterial small subunit ribosomal RNA
Source: RNAcentral